Molecule: non-coding RNA, 4467 nt
Organism: Callithrix jacchus (white-tufted-ear marmoset)
Lineage: Eukaryota; Metazoa; Chordata; Mammalia; Primates; Cebidae
Source: RefSeq, a predicted model, not a curated record
CAACAUCCUUAAUCCCUUCCCUGUAAAUCUGUGACCACUGGGACACUUGGUUCCACUAGGAGAGCUUUCAUCCACUGUGAUCCCUCAUCUACAGGCUCAGUGUCACCAGAAGAAUGAUGUUCUUGGCGCAGGGAGGCGCGCACUGACUGCUCCGCAGGGUCCCAGCUCCAGCGGUGCUCUUUCCGCUCAGUUCCCCGCUCCAUGCAGCCAGGGUAGCGCCCGGCGACCUGGGGCCGGGUCGCUCGUCUGGCGCUACUCCUCCGCUGCGCACUCCCGCCCGAACUCGGCCGUGCGCUCCCGCGGGCCACCCCAGGCGCAGCUCUGACCCGCAGCUUCCCAGGUGCACUGACCGCCUGACAGACUCGCGGCCCUUGGGCGGGGAUGUCGGGACCGGGGACGGCCGCGGCGGCACUGCUCCCCGCGGUCUUGCUGGCCUUGCAGGCGCCCUGGGCGAGCCGAGGGGGCGCCGCCGCACCCACCGCACCCAACGGCACGCUGGAGGCAGAUCUGGAGCGCAGCUGGGAGAGCCUGCUGGCGCGCUCGCUGAAGCGCCUGCCGGUGGCAGCGCAGCCCAAGGAGGCGGCCGUCCAGAGCCGCGCCGGCGAUUACCUGCUGGGCAUCAAGCGGCUGCGGCGGCUCUACUGCAACGUGGGCAUCAGCUUCCACCUCCAGGUGCUCCCCGACGGCAGCAUCCGCGGCGCGCACGGGGACACCCGCGACACCCUUCUUCACCAGUGAGUGCAAGUUCAAGGAGAUUCUCCUCCCCAACAACUACAACGCCUACGAGUCCUACAAUUACCCCAGCAUGUUCAUCGCUCUGAGAAAGAACGGGACGACCAAGAAUGGGAACCGGGUGUCACCCACCAAUAAGGUCACCCACUUCCUCCCCAGGCUGUGACCCUCCGGAAGAUCCCUGCCUCAGCCUCGGGAAGCCCCCGGGAGGGGAGCACCGAGGGCCGCCUUGGUGCACUUUCUUUGGAUAAGAGUUUAAUGCAACAGUAGGUGUAAGAUAUUUAAAUUAAUUAUUUAAAUGUGUAUUGCCACCAAAUUAUUUAUGGUUCUGAGGGUGUGUUUUGUAAUUUUCUGGGGGGAAAAAAACAAAAAGCGAAAAAACCAAAAAGCCAACUUUGACUUUUCUGGUGCACCAGUGGAGAAUCUUACCAUUGGAUUUCUUUAACUUGUCAAAAAGUUGUCAGGAGUGUGCUGCUAUUCUGUGUUUUAAAAUAAGGUGACCUUGGAUUCCGAUGUCAAUCCCUGUAGUAUGAUGUGGAGCAUCAUCUCUCUGUACGGAAAGGCCUGCCCGAAGCUUGGGAAGCCAGUUCAGGGGGCUCCCGGCUAGUAACCUUAGAGGCUGCUCCCUUUGUGCCCUGUUGCUAUUAGUCGGGACAUAUCGGUUUACUUUGGGCACAGAAAGUUCGCUGUCGAAGUCCUCGCUGCCACUCUGUUUUUAGAUCUGCCAAUACAGACCCGUGAACUUUCCUGUAGUCAAUCUUCCUUGAUCUACCAGAUGGGAGAGACCCCUGGACAACUUUAUAAACUCCUGUUUGCCUUUUUUGGAUCAGCGACAGCCCCCAUCGCUGUGAUCACUGGGGAAAAGACAGAGCUAUUUCAUAAAUUCCGUGAAGAGGAAUCGGUAUCCCACUGGAAGGCUAGAAAUGGAGAAGAUGGUGUAUUUGCAAUCAAGACAAAAACCCUAGUGAUGAAAAAUAAUCUGUGAUAGCAGAUGCUUCUGAUGGUGUGUAGAAUAUAUAUUUUAAAACAAAAAAACUCCCACCCUCACCCCCACCCCAAACGGGCUUCCCUGUGCUUACUUAGGGAGCUUUGGGCUAGAGCUAGCUAUUAUUUUUAGGUAAAAUGUCCUUGUAAUUGUACAAAACACUUGAUGCAGCGUUUGCGUGGAGGAGGCUGCUGCUUUCUGAUGCAUUCCCUGCUUAAGUGCGUUUAACAUCUACCUCACAAGCCCUGGAAUCUACAGAAAGCUCAGACCCGGUGCAGGCGUUUGCCAUCCCAAGUGGCUUUUUUUUCCAUAUGUAGCCAAAAAAGAUUGCAGAUAGCGUCGGUGCGUCCCAUUCGAAUCUUGGCACGUUUGAGCUAUCUUGACCCCGUGAUUUACUUUUAGUAAGGGUGAUCAUGGUGAAAAUAUUUGCAGACAGCUGUUACAGUGCAUUAUAUGGUCACCAAGUAACCUUGUUUUUCUUUAUAUAUUUUACAAAUGUAACCCCUGUUGUUGAAGGAACUGUGGAAAAGGCAGGGUGGGUUAUGUUUAAAAACAGUUCCGAGGUGAUGGCAAACAUUUAAUUUUAAUGAAUGACGUUUUAGAGUUUAUACAAAAUGACCUUAGCUUGCUACCAGAAAUGCUCCGAAUGUUUCUUCAAGACUUUAAUACUCUCCUAGGAUGUUUCUGAACUGUCUACCGAAUUAACUUUAUGGGAGUCUACAGACAGCAAGACUGGAAAAUCUGAUCGUAGUUUUUGUCUUUCACAUUCCUUUUGAAAACGCUUUGUUUGAAUGCAAAUCAUCGACUUAAAAUACUAUUCUUAACCGGAAGAAAGAAGACACUUGUAAAGCCACUAAGACAGGACCACACAUCUUCAACUGCUGUUCCUACAACGUAAUAAAAUGUUCCCAAUUUUAAAACCACACCCUAGACUCCAGGACUGUUGAGGAAAGAUGACCCUCGUAGGUCUGCAUGCUGUUCGGGAUUGGGGGUUUGAAGGGAUAACUGAGGAUUUUCUGGAUUUUAAUGUAUUCAUCUAAUAACAAACCAUGAUUGUCUUAAAUGCCUUAAAUUAUUAUGGAAUUUCUUGUCUCUGAGCCCAAUCAGAUUGUCAGAAUUAACAUGUGUUAGGCGCAGCGUUUGAUCACCCUUGACCACUUCUGUAGAUGGUUCUUCAACAAAUCAUGUGUGUUGCCUGUAGGGACGUAACUGCACCUUUCAAAUAUUGUUUUCAUAUUGCUGUGAUGGGGAUUCAAGGUUCCUGUAUGUCCCGCUGUUUUCAGAAUCUGUAGUUUUAUACAGAUGCCAACCGACCCUCGUUGUGAUGUAUGUGCUGCGCACACUGCUGUGCUGACCACCGUGAUAAGCGUUUAUCCUGUAUAGAAAGACGCCGCUGGACUGGAUACAUGCAAUUGGGAAAGGAAUUAAAAACUAUUAAAAAUGGGCCUUGAAAUGCCAAAAAAAAAAAAAAAGAAUGUUGGUCUUUUCCAGAUAGCUGGAUUACACAGCAUUUAACUUUAUCUUAUUUCAUUUUUUAUGAGAAGUUAUGAAAUUGGAAUAAAAAGCAGAAACAAAGAAAGAUAUCUUCUGAAAUAUACAUUUUAUAAGAACCAAGGAAUUAGUACCUGAAAAAAUAAACUAAUACUUAAAAUUAGUUUAUAUAGGGAGAUAAUUAUAUUUCUUGCCAAAAUGUCUAUCACCCUACUGAUUCUCUGUUUGAAAUAAACAUUAGAACUUUUAUAUGUAGAAAUAUGAAAUUUUACAAAUUUGCCAUAAGAGGCCGGAGAACUAGCUUGCUCUUUUUCCACCAUGUGAGACUACAAUAGGAAGUCAGCAGUCUGCAAUCAGCAGUUACCAGAACUUGACCAUGCUGAUGCCUUGAUCUUGGAUUUCCCAGUCUCCAGAACUAUGAGAAAUAAAUGCUUCUUGUUUAAGCCACCCAGUUUAUGGUAAUUUGUUAUAUCAGCCUGAAGUGAUUAAGACAAAAAUGCUGAGCAACAGGACUAUAUAGUAAAAUUCCAUAACUUGUUCUGGAGUUUUAGAUAUAUUACAAAGGUCUGGAAUGCAAUAGGUCCUCAGAGAUUGAAUAUGGCACCAGCAAGGGGAGUGUGGACAUGAGCCAGAUCCUAACAGAAAGGAUAUUUGCCCUUUAUGGCUCCUUUAUGGAACCUCCUUUAUGCUUCCUUCCAGGAGCAUGCAGCCCAGAAUGCAGGUCUGAUGGAGUGACUGGUACCACAGGCAUGUCGGAAUCAGAGAAUCAUGAUUGUUCUUGUAAAUGAUACUUAUGGACCAAACAGGCACAUUGGGCUCAGAACAUAGCAAUUUUUUCCCUAAGUCUGUCAGUGCAUAUAUCUUUUACAGGCCAGGUAUGUCAAGAGUCUACAUUUGAGAAAGGUCUUAAAACCCAUACAAUAUACAUUUUGUACACAAUUUCAGAAUUCAUAACAGAUUAUACUCAAGAUACUGCAUUUUAUCCAGUGUGUUUUUACAUUAUAAUUUCACAGGGUAGGAGCUUCUCAUUUUCAAUGCCAAUUUACUUUUAUGUGAUAUUCACAUUUUGUACCAAUCUGGUGUUCAGAUUUUAUAUUACUUGAUAUGAUUAUUUAAAUGCAUAAUCACUUUAAGUUUCUGUUAUAAACUUAUGGGUAGUAUGACAUAAUAUAAAUUAUAUUAGAGAUGGUAUAUUUAAUAUCCCCUAAAAUACUAAAUAACUUACCAAUAUCCUAGUAUUUAAAUACAUAGUUGAUAAC